UUCGCAAUGCCCGAAAGGGUGACGAAGCGACGCCGCGUGUGGGAAGAAGGCCUUCGGGUUGUAAACCACUGUCGGGAGUUAAGAAAUGCAAGGGUGCUAAUAGUAUCCUUGCUUGACUAAGGCUCCGGAGGAAGCCACGGCUAACUCUGUGCCAGCAGCCGCGGUAAUACAGAGGCGGCAAGCGUUGUUCGGAAUUAUUGGGCGUAAAGAGCACGUAGGCGGCUAUGCAAGUCGGUUGUGAAAGCCUUCCGCUCAACGGAAGAACAGCAUCCGAUACUGCAUGGCUUGAGUGCGGGAGGGGAGAGUGGAACUUCUGGUGGAGCGGUGAAAUGCGUAGAUAUCAGAAGGAACGCCGGCGGCGAAAGCGGCUCUCUGGCCCAUAACUGUCGCUGAGUGUGCGAAAGCUAGGGGAGCAAACGGGAUUAGAUACCCCGGUAGACCUAGCCGUAAACGAUGGGCACUAAGUAGAGGGGUUUU
This 477-nucleotide ribosomal RNA is filed under the name uncultured anaerobic ammonium-oxidizing bacterium. Its description in RNAcentral is "bacterial SSU rRNA". It matches the Rfam family "Bacterial small subunit ribosomal RNA", at positions 365 to 832 of the family's 1533-position model. The record is from RNAcentral.